GGUUAUAUUAUUUCUGUGUCAUUGCCUGGUGCUGAACAGUCUUGAAAAGAAUAGACCUGGUUUGUGAAUUAUGGCCUGUACUUUGCUUUUGAUCACUCUCCUGUCUCUCUGUUCAGGAACCAUUUCCCAGGCUGUCGUGACUCAGGAAUCUUCACUCACAACAUCACCUGGUGAAACAGUCAUACUCACUUGUCAAUCUAGUACUGGAACUGUUACAACCAAUAACUAUGCCAACUGGGUCCAAGAAAAACCAGAUCAUUUAUUUACUGGUAUAAUAGGUGGUACUAACAAUCGAGCUCCAGGUGUUCCUGCUAGAUUCUCGGGCUCCAUUAUUGGAGGCAAGGCUGCCCUUACCAUCACAGGGGCACAGGCUGAGGAUGAGGCGAUGUAUUUCUGUGCUCUCUGGUACAGCAACCAUUUUGUUUUCGGCGGUGGAACCAAGCUCACUGUCCUAGGUCAGCCCAAGUCCACUCCCACACUCACAGUGUUUCCACCUUCUCCUGAGGAGCUCCAGGAAAACAAAGCCACACUGGUGUGCCUGAUUUCCGACUUCUACCCGGGUGAUGUAACAGUGGCUUGGAAGGCAAAUAAUGCACCUAUCACCCAGGGUGUGGAAACUGCAAAUCCCACCAAAGAGGGCAACAAGUACAUAGCCAGCAGCUUCUUACGCCUGACUCCAGACCAGUGGAGAUCUCACAAAAGUUUCACCUGCCAAGUUAUACAUGAAGGGAACACUGUUGAGAAGAGUCUGUCUCCUGCAGAAUGUCUCUAGGAACCCAGGUUUCUCUUUAGCCUGGGAACCCUGCAGCUGUAGGACCUAGAGUGGGGUCUCUUCUCUAUAUUAGCUAUCUUUACCCUUUUCUCUUGCCCACUGAAUAUUAAAUAAAAUAUCAUGAGUUAAUCAUAA
Molecule: non-coding RNA, 907 nt
Organism: Apodemus sylvaticus (European woodmouse)
Lineage: Eukaryota; Metazoa; Chordata; Mammalia; Rodentia; Muridae
Source: the annotation of a RefSeq genome assembly